RNAcentral lists this ribosomal RNA (247 nucleotides) under uncultured bacterium. Its description in RNAcentral is "partial 16S ribosomal RNA". It matches the Rfam family "Bacterial small subunit ribosomal RNA", at positions 111 to 353 of the family's 1533-position model. The record is from RNAcentral.
UAACACGUGGGUAACCUGCCUUAUAGUGGGGGAGUAGCCUUUCGAAAGGAAGAUUAAUACCGCAUAAGAUUGUAGUAUCGCAUGAUAUAGCAAUUAAAGGAGCAAUCCGCUAUAAGAUGGACCCGCGUCGCAUUAGCUAGUUGGUGAGGUAAUGGCUCACCAAGGCGACGAUGCGUAGCCGACCUGAGAGGGUGAUCGGCCACAUUGGGACUGAGACACGGCCCAGACUCCUACGGGAGGCAGCAUG